GCAAGUGUGCCGCCAGAGUGCUGCAGUGGACUUAAAUCUCUCCUCAGUGCUGCACGUACCCGCACGGACCGCCAGAGCGCUUGCCAAUGCGUGAAGACCGUGGCGUCAAGCGCUACUGGAGAUCAAAUUAGCCGUGCUGCUAGUAUCCCUGGAAUAUGUAAGGCCAAGGUUCCUUUCAAGAUUAGUGCAAAUGUUGAUUGCUCAAAGAUCAAGUAAGAGACUAUUUGUGAGUGGAAUAAUAUGUUGAAUUAAAUCGAUCUAGCCGUUGUGUUUACCUGUUUUGUCAAGAGUUACUCAGUGGCUGUUGUACAAUGAGAUUAUUUUCAUUGAUGUCCCUUUCUUUCCGAGACGCUAUUGUUGCCCUAUAUUAUUUUCUUAUAGCUAGCACACUAUAAUGUUGCUUUUUCCGAUGAUCUAUAGAAUUAAAUAAAUUCGAGUAAUCUCACAUUUUAUAGAACUCUGUUGGAUACUUCAGAAAUUAAUCAAAUUGACAUUUGAUAA
Molecule: long non-coding RNA, 501 nt
Filed under: Nicotiana tabacum (common tobacco)
Lineage: Eukaryota; Viridiplantae; Streptophyta; Magnoliopsida; Solanales; Solanaceae
Description: long non-coding RNA (NTAB_LNC014939)
Source: RNAcentral